AAAUAAGCUACUACGAAUGUGUGCACUGUGUUUGACUGUGCAUGUAGCCAUGUGUAUGUGUAACAGUGUAUACUGUUUGAAUGAGUGUGUAUAUAGCAGUAUGUGCAUACUGUGUAGUGUGCCAUCUAUAACAGAGGUGGAUAUUCUAGCUCCAUAUUUCUCAACAUUCUCCCAGAAUCCAGUCAGAGAAAAAUAAUGGCUUUUGCAUUACUGGUAUUUUUUACAAUACUAAAAUAUUGGUUGUGCCAGUAAGACCCUACCUAUCUCCCC
Pelobates cultripes (western spadefoot toad) is the source of this 270-nucleotide non-coding RNA. The record is from the annotation of a GenBank genome assembly. Lineage: Eukaryota; Metazoa; Chordata; Amphibia; Anura; Pelobatidae.